GGAGAAAAGCUCAGAGAUAAAGCAUCCCGACAGUAAGUGUCGGGAAGGUCGCUGGUUCGACUCCAGUUUUCGGCU
This 75-nucleotide transfer RNA is filed under the name Chitinophagaceae bacterium. RNAcentral describes it as "tRNA-OTHER". The record is from RNAcentral. Lineage: Bacteria; Pseudomonadati; Bacteroidota; Chitinophagia; Chitinophagales; Chitinophagaceae.